AGAAGCGGGCCCCCCACCACCAAGUAGCCCCACCCCAACAGUCAUAGGCCCUGAUAUGAGAAGGAGGAAGAUUCAUUAAAAAUCCCCCUUGGUGCCUUCCUCUUAUUUAGUUCUUUGAAUUUGAUUCAGUUCAGCUGGAAUUGAAGCUCCGGCUAAAUGUCUAGCCGUGGCUCUGAGACUAGCCCACUUCAGCUCACUUUUCUGUCCAGGCUUUGACAAUUUAGUGAUGAGAGUGGUUACCCAGACAAGAACCCUCAAGUAUCACGGGGUGCCCCAGAAUGAAGCUGUGAUUAAAAUCAGUUGUGUAACCACAGACCACAAAUUUACCAGACCACAAACUUUACCGUUUUAGAAAAACAACCAGACAGGUGGCAAAGGAUGAAAAUGACCAUGUUUUAUUAACUGUUUGCUGGGUUCGAGCUGUUACUAUCUUGGUCAGGCAGUGUUGCCAUUGCUGUCUUUGUCUGUCAAGUUUCAGACCCUGCUUCAGGCGUGUGGGUUUUUUUCUAUAAAGUUUCUUUGGGAACAGCAAAAAUGCUGUCAAAGGCAAAUAUAAAAAAAUGAGACUCUGCAUGAGAAAGGGUGAUUCUGCCUAUGGUUCUUUAACUCUUUAUAAAGGUUUCAACCACAUGUAAUUCUACCAAAGCCGGGAGGGAAACGCGCUAGUGGAAGAUGUGAAAUCCAGGUAGCUCAUGAAUGCCUAGAAUGAGGCAGCUUUGAUCUCCAACUUGCUAUUGCUUUCCUUAUUAUUGUAACGGGCUGCCUAUUAUUAUCAUUAUUAUUAUUAUUAUUAUUAUUAUUAUUAUUAUUAUUGAAAAGGUUUUUAUUUCCCCUUUGCAUUUUUAUAAGCUAGUGUAAAUGAAGGAAAAUAUUUGUCUUCUCUGGGUUGUGCGCUUUGCUCGAUGUGCACAGGUGUACACCCUAAGCUUUCUCUGUCCUGGAAUCUGUGUUUGGUGCCCAUGUAUUUUCUAACCCACU
Molecule: long non-coding RNA, 978 nt
Organism: Pipistrellus kuhlii (Kuhl's pipistrelle)
Lineage: Eukaryota; Metazoa; Chordata; Mammalia; Chiroptera; Vespertilionidae
Exons: 3
Source: RefSeq, a predicted model, not a curated record